Non-coding RNA from Chelonoidis abingdonii (Abingdon island giant tortoise), 108 nucleotides. Lineage: Eukaryota; Metazoa; Chordata; Testudines; Testudinidae. The record is from RefSeq and is a predicted model, not a curated record.
GGUGUCCAUUUUGCAAAUUAAUUCCAUUUCAGCAGUCUCUCAUUGGAGUCUGUUUUUGAAGUUUUUUUGUUGUAAUACUGUGACUUUUAGGUCUUUAAUCAAUUGGCC